AUUGAACGCUGGCGGCAGGCUUAACACAUGCAAGUCGAGCGGAUUACAGAGCUUGCUCUGUAGUUAGCGGCGAACGGGUGAGUAAUACCUAGGAAUCUGCCUAUUAGUGGGGGAUAACGUGUGGAAACGCACGCUAAUACCGCAUACGUCCUACGGGAGAAAGCAGGGGAUCUUCGGACCUUGCGCUAAUAGAUGAGCCUAGGCCAGAUUAGCUAGUUGGUAGGGUAAAGGCCUACCAAGGCGACGAUCUGUAGCUGGUCUGAGAGGAUGGCCAGCCACACUGGAACUGAGACACGGUCCAGACUCCUACGGGAGGCAGCAGUGGGGAAUAUUGGACAAUGGGGGAAACCCUGAUCCAGCCAUGCCGCGUGUGUGAAGAAGGCC
Molecule: ribosomal RNA, 384 nt
Filed under: uncultured bacterium
Lineage: Bacteria
Description: bacterial SSU rRNA
Rfam family: Bacterial small subunit ribosomal RNA
Source: RNAcentral